GACGAACGCUGGCGGCGUGCUUAACACAUGCAAGUCGAACGGAAAGGCCCUGCUUUUGUGGGGUGCUCGAGUGGCGAACGGGUGAGUAACACGUGAGUAACCUGCCCUUGACUUUGGGAUAACUUCAGGAAACUGGGGCUAAUACCGGAUAGGAGCUCCUGCUGCAUGGUGGGGGUUGGAAAGUUUCGGCGGUUGGGGAUGGACUCGCGGCUUAUCAGCUUGUUGGUGGGGUAGUGGCUUACCAAGGCUUUGACGGGUAGCCGGCCUGAGAGGGGGACCGGCCACAUUGGGACUGAGAUAGGGCCCAGACUCCUACGGGAGGCAGCAGUGGGGAAGAUUGCACAAUAGGCGGAAGCCUGAUGCAGCAACGCCGCGUGCGGGAUGACGGCCUUCGGGUUGUGAACCGCUUUCGCCUGUGACGAAGCGUGAGUGACGGUAAUGGGUAAAGAAGCACCGGCUAACUACGUG
RNAcentral lists this ribosomal RNA (468 nucleotides) under uncultured bacterium. RNAcentral describes it as "partial 16S ribosomal RNA". It matches the Rfam family "Bacterial small subunit ribosomal RNA", at positions 28 to 507 of the family's 1533-position model. The record is from RNAcentral.